CCGGCUAACUCUGUGCCAGCAGCCGCGGUAAUACAGAGGGUGCAAGCGUUAAUCGGAUUUACUGGGCGUAAAGCGCGCGUAGGCGGCUAAUUAAGUCAAAUGUGAAAUCCCCGAGCUUAACUUGGGAAUUGCAUUCGAUACUGGUUGGCUAGAGUGUGGGAGAGGAUGGUAGAAUUCCAGGUGUAGCGGUGAAAUGCGUAGAGAUCUGGAGGAAUACCGAUGGCGAAGGCAGCCCUCUGGCCUAACACUGACGCUGAGGUGCGAAAGCAUGGGGAGCAAACAGGAUUAGAUACCCUGGUAGUCCAUGCCGUAAACGAUGUCUACUAGCCGUUGGGGCCUUUGAGGCUUUAGUGGCGCAGCUAACGCGAUAAGUAGACCGCCUGGGGAGUACGGUCGCAAGACUAAAACUCAAAUGAAUUGACGGGGGCCCGCACAAGCGGUGGAGCAUGUGGUUUAAUUCGAUGCAACGCGAAGAACCUUACCUGGCCUUGACAUACUAGAAACUUUCCAGAGAUGGAUUGGUGCCUUCGGGAAUCUAGAUACAGGUGCUGCAUGGCUGUCGUCAGCUCGUGUCGUGAGAUGUUGGGUUAAGUCCCGCAACGAGCGCAACCCUUUUCCUUAUUUGCCAGCGAGUAAUGUCGGGAACUUUAAGGAUACUGCCAGUGACAAACUGGAGGAAGGCGGGGACGACGUCAAGUCAUCAUGGCCCUUACGGCCAGGGCUACACACGUGCUACAAUGGUCGGUACAAAGGGUUGCUACACAGCGAUGUGAUGCUAAUCUCA
RNAcentral lists this ribosomal RNA (784 nucleotides) under Acinetobacter sp. 1566109. Its description in RNAcentral is "bacterial SSU rRNA". It matches the Rfam family "Bacterial small subunit ribosomal RNA", at positions 493 to 1276 of the family's 1533-position model. The record is from RNAcentral. Lineage: Bacteria; Pseudomonadati; Pseudomonadota; Gammaproteobacteria; Moraxellales; Moraxellaceae.